RNAcentral lists this ribosomal RNA (197 nucleotides) under uncultured bacterium. RNAcentral's name for it is "partial 16S ribosomal RNA". It matches the Rfam family "Bacterial small subunit ribosomal RNA", at positions 1304 to 1500 of the family's 1533-position model. The record is from RNAcentral.
UCUGCAACUCGACUACAUGAAGCCGGAAUCGCUAGUAAUCGCGGAUCAGAAUGCCGCGGUGAAUACGUUCCCGGGUCUUGUACACACCGCCCGUCACACCAUGGGAGCCGGAAAUGCCCGAAGUCAGUGACCCAACCGCGAGGAGGGAGCUGCCGAAGGCAGGUCUGGUAACUGGGGUGAAGUCGUAACAAGGUAGC